UUAAAUUGAAGAGUUUGAUCAUGGCUCAGAUUGAACGCUGGCGGCAGGCCUAACACAUGCAAGUCGAACGGUAGCACAGAGAGCUUGCUCUCGGGUGACGAGUGGCGGACGGGUGAGUAAUGUCUGGGAAACUGCCUGAUGGAGGGGG
Molecule: ribosomal RNA, 148 nt
Filed under: Kosakonia radicincitans
Lineage: Bacteria; Pseudomonadati; Pseudomonadota; Gammaproteobacteria; Enterobacterales; Enterobacteriaceae
Description: 16S rRNA. Bacterial SSU
Rfam family: Bacterial small subunit ribosomal RNA
Source: RNAcentral